AGUGAACGCUGGCGGUAGGCCUAACACAUGCAAGUCGAACGGCAGCACAGUAAGAGCUUGCUCUUACGGGUGGCGAGUGGCGGACGGGUGAGGAAUACAUCGGAAUCUACUUUUUCGUGGGGGAUAACGUAGGGAAACUUACGCUAAUACCCCAUACGACCUACGGGUGAAAGCAGGGGAUCUUCGGACCUUGCGCGAUUGAAUGAGCCGAUGUCGGAUUAGCUAGUUGGCGGGGUAAAGGCCCACCAAGGCGACGAUCCGUAGCUGGUCUGAGAGGAUGAUCAGCCACACUGGAACUGAGACACGGUCCAGACUCCUACGGGAGGCAGCAGUGGGGAAUAUUGGACAAUGGGCGCAAGCCUGAUCCAGCCAUACCGCGUGGGUGAAGAAGGCCUCCGGGUUGUAAAGCCCUUUUGUUGGGAAAGAAAAGCAGCAGGUUAAUACCCCGCUGUUCUGACGGUACCCAAAGAAUAAGCACCGGCUAACUUCGUG
This 492-nucleotide ribosomal RNA is filed under the name uncultured bacterium. RNAcentral describes it as "partial 16S ribosomal RNA". It matches the Rfam family "Bacterial small subunit ribosomal RNA", at positions 29 to 507 of the family's 1533-position model. The record is from RNAcentral.